UACAGAGGCCUCGAGCGUUAGGCGGAAUUACUGGGCGUAAAGCGCACGUAGGCGGAUUUGUAAGUCAGGGGUGAAAUCCCGAGGCUCAACCUCGGAACUGCCUUUGAUACUGCAAAUCUCGAGUCCGGAAGAGGUGAGUGGAAUUCCUAGUGUAGAGGUGAAAUUCGUAGAUAUUAGGAAGAACACCGGUGGCGAAGGCGGCUCACUGGUCCGGUACUGACGCUGAGGUGCGAAAGCGUGGGGAGCAAACAGG
Molecule: ribosomal RNA, 253 nt
Filed under: uncultured bacterium
Lineage: Bacteria
Description: partial 16S ribosomal RNA
Rfam family: Bacterial small subunit ribosomal RNA
Source: RNAcentral